UGUAAAGACGGAGCUAAGGUUACCUGUAAUGUCGUCAGUUAACAUGGAUCAAAAUUAAUACAGAAGGGCCUCUAUUUCGGAAAAACCUCUGGAACUGGCAAAAUUGUCUCUUAAAACUGAAAGGUGCUCCUUCACCAAAGAUCGUUAACACACUGUUAGAAAUAAUCUUUUUCGGUCGGAAAUAAGCGGUGUCAAGCAAUUACAAAAACUUCUUAGCGGUAUACCCAGAAAGGUGGUGUCAUAAAUGAAGAAAUCCUGAUUGAAGAUGACUCAGAGAGACUCCAGCGCUGGUACACAAAGAGAGCACGUCAGUGAACUGGAGAACCUUAAAAGUUCAAUUUAGGUCAUGGGUAAGUUAGAGUUGAAGUCCUUGUUUAUCUCAAUGAGAGCCACAUCUGCUUGGGUGUGACGAUUGAUGUUUUUUGCCCGGUCAUUGAUGGCCGAGGGAAAGUUGGGUUUGACAGGAUAAGUUUUGCUAAAGGCCGUGCUGAGAUCAUACGCAGGUAUAACGAUUCGGAAAAGCCGGGUUUGGUUUGGCGAAAAUGAUGCAGCGUUACACUGCGUUCUAUAAGCUUGCUGCACAUGCAGAAAAGCAGGAGAAACAGGACAAUAGUCAGGACGAGCUGAUUUACCAUUCUUUCUUCAUGUAUGACACUCCGUGUUGUCUUCGAUUGAUCUGGUACUCUGCCUGGGUCAUCUGACAAAAGGCGCGAUACUCAACGAUAGUUUUAGAACCGAACGUCGAUGGUUCAUCGGAACCGCUUGCUUGAAAGAUCAUAGAAGUUGUUUGAAUACCCUUUGGACAGAGACUCUGGGGUCAGAAAUGGAGUUGUGAAAAUUACGCGAGUGUUUGAGUAGUAUAGGGGCCUAACUAAAGAGAUCUCCUCUUGAAAUACACCUUUGUUUGACUUUUGGAUCGUCUGGCACCACGAGACUUAAAAAAAAAAAAAAAAUCGCACAGCAGGAGUACAAGUGCAUCACUCAAAUGAUGGAAUCUUGCACCGUUAUGGAUUUGCAAUCAAGAUGAAAUUUCCAAAAGAGAGCCAAAAUUUUUAAGAAACUAAGCCUGCCCUGCUAAUACAUCCUCGUUCUUGCGCCUACGGCAUGAUGCAUGGUAUGGAUCCGUUGACCAGCGUGAAGAGGCUAAACCUAUGCAUCAAAGGGACUCUUGUUUCGCUUGUUUGUGUCGAGGAGAAACAUGAAGACCCCUUUCUAAUCAGAAAAAAAAAUAUUCCUGUUGUUGACAUUAACUCAAAAGAUGUUUAAUAUAACUCAGACUUGGAACGCCCUAAGAGGUAGGUCUCCACAUUUGAUCAAUAGACUGUUUACAAAUAAGUAUAAGCAUGGCAGAAAGUUACAAAAAGACAUCUAUCGAUUGAUCCCUCAACAGUUCUUUGCGUACUAACGUAGUCAGCAGUAAUUCCUCCAAACAGUUACUACAGUGGAACUCCGAUAUAACGAUAUGCCAAGGGAGCGGUGGAAUUAGAUCGUUGUAUCGAGUUAUCGUUCUAUCGAGACGGGGUUCUGUCCUAUACAUUUUACUGUAACUUUUUCUGGGACAUAGCAUAUUUAUCGUUGUACCGGGGAUAUCGUUAUGUCGAGGAUCGUUGUAUCGGGUUCCACUGUAGCUACUGAGUGGUGAGUGUUACAAAAUAACAAUUUUAGUGCGUUUACGAUUAACUGGCGUAAUUUUUUUUUUUUUUUUAAUGAAAGCGCUGAUUACCAUUACUAAUGCAGUCUCUACACCUAGGACAGAGGAACAUUGUUAACGGGGAAUGUUUUGUAAUCGAUCCUGAAAUGAAAUAUGCUGGCAAGAUGUCAUUAUUGUUUGGAGAAACAAUUUUUUGUUACCAGCAUCAAGCAAUGUUUUCUCUUAAGUUUGAUUAAAGCGUUGAAGCGCGACUUUCUGUUGGAUUGUUUGCUAGCGGUGUCUUAAGUCACCUUUGAUGUCUGACGAGUAUUCUUGAGCUCGUCAUAAUGGACGAAAAUUUGCCCGCCAAACCGCGAAGAAAGAGCGCAAGAAUCGCUUCACAAGGCCAUAUGAACACAUCGGUGCUGAUAAAGCGGUGCAGGACUUGAGCCAGGGGAGAAUUUUGUUGAGCACCCUGUUUAGUAUGCUUCGGAAAGAAUAGCACGACGAACUACAGUCAUCAUGAAAUCAGUUUUCGGCGUACGGCGUCAGGAAAUCUGGUUUGUUCCUUUUAGCUCUAUGAGGCUGUGUUUGUAUCUCACAGAAUAGAGAACUGCGACGUAAUAACAAGGGCAGAAUCGCUGAAAUAAAACUUUCAACGUCGCCCUUUUUCAGUUUGUCAGUGCCAUGAAACCGCCUCUCUUCCCUUUUCGAUUUGCAAAACAUGUUUCCACAAACAAAGGCCUUUCUUAAAUUUCAUCAGAUAGGCAAGUACUUUAUUUUCGAAGAUCUUGUUAACGUGAAAAACAAAUCAUGCUUUAUUUCAUUGUUUUCUUAUCAGAAGAUGCCAAUGUUUAGACUAUCAAGCACUGUAACCCAGACUAGUGGGCAUGUACAAAAACGCGACCGAUUGAUUUCCUUCGUUUUACCAAAUGUUCAAGGGCAUCUUAAGUGUCUUCAUUAGAGCGUUAUCAGUCUUGGUGAGCAAAUAAGGAGAGCAUAAGAUGCAAGAUUGUUUUAAGUCUUUUCUUAAAAAGAUCAUGCCCUUGCAGCUAGUGUUAAAAAACAGUUACAAAAUAGGGUACAUUUGAAUCUACAUUAAGGUUCCAAAAAUCUCAAAAAUGCAGAAAAACAACUUUAAAUAUAUUCGUGUCUGUAAUGCCCUCAUAAUCUAACAAAGCCCGGAUUAGCUCAAUAACCAUUUUCCAUGCAACAACAAAGGGCAGAGCUGAGUUUCAGACGUUGGCUUUCGCAAUUUAGCCGGUUAGUUAAUUUUUAACUGAUAUAUUUAAGUGGACUCGGCAACUAUUCGGCGCGGGAAAUCGAAAAACACUCUUAAGAUUUUCCCAAAUAAGGCGACAGUGCGUGGGAGGCGAAUGGUCUGGAAUGUAGUUGCCCUGGUAACAUUGUCUUUCCGAAGUACAAUAAGGAUUCUAUUGAUCCUCGGACUAACAAUGAUUGCUUUCUUUUAUGGCAUCUGAGUUAUGUCAGUGAUGUUAUUAUAUACGUUAAACGGCCAAUCCACGUUUGUUUUGUAGCGGAUAAUUUCCGUUGUGGGAGGAAUGACUUGACACCAUUCGUUGUUCUUCUUGUGUAUAACGUAUUAUUGACGAGAAUGUAGACCGCUUCGAACGUGCGUUUCGACAGCGAACCCGACCACCGAACGGGAAAAUCAGUAAAGUAGCUGUAGAGUACCUUGACAUGUCUGAACUCAGGCACGACAAGUACUGUUUGCUUUCACCUCCGUGCGAAAUGUAAUUGCACUGCAACGUCUUUGAACGAGGAUUUUGUCGGCCAAAGCUGAACCCAGUAUCAACUCAUACAAGAUGAUUAUAGUCUCUCAGACGAUACUCAAGGCCGAAGGAGCUGCAGAUAGAUGGCUUUAUUAUCGACUGAUCGCCUUGGUAUUCCUGAAUCCGAUACAAAGAAAAAAACUGCGAGGAUUGGACAAUCCAGCAAAGACAAGACGGUGCACCGAGAGACCAGGUGGCAGCUGGAGUCCUGGAGGCUUUUGCUACCAAACGAACCCUCCUUUUAGCGAAAUAGCCUGCAUGUUUUCAGAAAGAGAGGACUUGACAUAUCCCCAACUGGCACAACACUGCAAAGAGACGCCCAAUUCACCGUGUCAUUCAACUCUGACAGGUGUCGGCAUGUUUCUGAUGAUAUCUUGAUCUAACAUAAUUCAGACUUUAACUCAUCUGAUACCAGGGAAAUUAAUUUAAGCUGAAAUAUAACAGAUAUAGAGAGUCGCCGCGCGACACACCUUCGGACACCCUAACCUUCUGCGCUUUCAAAAGAACCCCAAACGGAAAUAUGUCGUCGCAAUGGCAAAACGCGACAGCAUUGGAAACGAUUUGAGGACAAUUUUAGUUAAUUCAAGUUCAAAUGACUCUAUAACUAAGCAAAGGUUAAGGACGAAUUAUCUAAGCAAAAAAGUCUUUUGUCGUCUACUCGGACUGUAACAGCUGGAGUCAUUGUCUAGAAAUAAUCAUGUUCCAUAGUUGGUCUAAGACACAUCACUCAAUAACUCAGUCCGGUGCAGUUCAUAACGUAGCUAUUUCAAUACUGUUGUGCCAUUUUCCCACGCCAGUACAUGAUCAAGGUCACAGGUGCCACCGGUGAACCUGCCAAUAAUACUACUUGGACAAUGCCACUAAGUUCAUCAGAAGAUUUUGAAACAGCGGUGACACCUCUGCCAUAAACACCAAAUUAAUGAAGCACGUGGUUAGGUAUCUUCCUACUAAACGAAAAGGCACGUGAGAGAUAUUUGAUUAGCAAGGUCACGAGGUGAUACCUACAGCUCAUGCAAAGGCAUCUCCAGCAUACUGUAAUUGCUCGAAUAUGUACUUGGACAUUGGACACUUAUUUGGCUCAAAGGAGGGGAAGGGCGCUUAAUUUAAGGAGGGUGCUUUUCCUUCUCCUACACUGAUUCCUUUUAAGCUAGAGGUUAAACAAGUGUUAAGUGGCAAUGGAAACAGGUUUUUCCCUGUCCUUAUUAAUCAACAAAGUGAGCAAGAAGAGAUGGGCGGUUAUUCGAGAGAGGUGCCGACACUAUGGCCUAAGGCGUGAUUAUUAAUAUUUAAAAUUUGUAAAUAAUCGCAUAACUCAACUUUUGGUUGCAAAUCGAUUAUUAAUAAAAUAUCUAUCUAAUCAGUAAACUGUCGAUAAGCUGGCUUGCCAAAGUUGAAAAGGAACUGUUGUGGUUUUCCUGUAAUGUCCGAA
RNAcentral lists this long non-coding RNA (4852 nucleotides) under Stylophora pistillata. RNAcentral describes it as "uncharacterized LOC111321649". Lineage: Eukaryota; Metazoa; Cnidaria; Anthozoa; Scleractinia; Pocilloporidae. The record is from RNAcentral.